Molecule: long non-coding RNA, 3152 nt
Organism: Oxyura jamaicensis (ruddy duck)
Lineage: Eukaryota; Metazoa; Chordata; Aves; Anseriformes; Anatidae
Exons: 5
Source: RefSeq, a predicted model, not a curated record
CUUUCCGUUAACAGAGCGCCUACUCGUACUUUAUAGACGCUAUUUAUCCCUCUUCAUGUGAAAUUCUGUCACGAAUUUUAGAGCGAGUAAUUAACAAUGUGGAAGCAGGCUCCCCCCUCCGCGGAGAAAUGGCUCGGGUCCUGCCUCGAGCCCCGCCGCACGUAAACAUUUGGGAGAGGGCGGUCAGGGUGGUAAGAGCGCUCUCAUACGGACGGUGCAAAACGGUGGAAAAGUCUACCGGCUCCCCAGGUGGACUUAAAUGCCACCAGACCCUGCUUGUUGCCUAUCUGCCACCGAGGUCAGCAAUCCCCCCCCUCUCUGGAAGACAUGCCUCAGUCAAGGGAGAGUGGUUGCUCCUCUCAGAGUACAGCAACUUGGAGAUGAAACAAGUCCUUCUCAUGGUGAAAACAAAGCUUUAUUACUAGUACCUGUCCUGCUCCACUGGAUUACAAACGUGGGAAAGCUGAUUUCAAUCUUCAUGCCAGCAGCAUCCACAGUCUGUACUGCCUGGCAAGCAGCUACUCCUUCAGCCAGCAAGUAUUAUGCUUCCUCUUCUCUUGUCCCUGUGAUUGGGAAAAAAUCUGUGACAAAAAAACUGAAGGCAUUGAUUUCACUAUUCUUUUCCAAUUAUUUUCCCAUAAUGCCUAUAAAGACUAUACCGUGAUAAUUUUUAGCAAAUUACGACGUUAUGCAUAACUAUUUCUUUUUUAACUGUUGCUUUGUUGCCCCUGUCCUUGCAUCCACCUUUUCUAUUUCAUUUGCUUGUAUAUUACAGUGAUUAUUUCCUCUUGAAAUAACUAUCCUCUUUAUUUCUCCUUAUUUUUACUUAUAAUUAGUUCAUCACCUGUCCCUCGAGGACCAUGAUCUACCAUUGAGUGGUAGGUAAACCAAAUAAUAAUAGUGAACAAGAGCAGAAAUGCUUUGUUGGUUUCAGCAGAACUCCAAAUUAUGCUUUACAUGAUUUUAAUAUCUGGUCUCAAAACUUCCUUAAUCAUACUUCUUUUGGGGCAUCUGCAAUGGUUUUCUGGGGUUAAAGCUAGUAAGUUUGGGUACAUAAGCACUUAGUUCAAUUUGGUUCUAAUUAGUAAAAUCUGUAAAUCCUAAAGUCAUAUAGAAUCAUAAAAUCAUUAAGGUUGGAAAAGACAUCUAAAAUUACAUAAGGAAAAAAAAUAAAAAAUAAAAGUGUUUCUCCCUAGAAAAGCAGCACACAUUUGAAAGCACACCUUGAUAAACUCUGUCGGACUUAAUUUACCAUCUUUAUCUCCUGAUUUUCUCAAUGUUUGUAAUCCUGUUCGUUUAGGGUGGUAUUUCUUUAAAAAAGUGCUUACUACAACAGUGUUCUAUCAGUAGGUCAAGGUAUUCAUGCUAAUGUUAAUUAUUCCCUCAGCAGUAUCAAAUUAAUGAAAGGCACACCUGGGUUUUUCAGUUUUCAAGCAACUAUCUCACAGGGCUUUGGUCUGUACUGCAAAACAGUCUCAGAGAAUGCUAGUAGGUUUUAAUUUAGAUGAAACUGAAUGAGGACGUGCGGGCCAGUGCACCUACUGCACUUUAACUACUGUUACAACUGUGAACGAAUAUGAUUAAUUUAAUCUUGAUUUUCCUAGCAUUUUUUCAUGUUUAUUUGAAGGAAUACAAACUUUUCUACCUCAUUUUCCUGCAUUAUUUCCAUUGGAUGUAAGCAACUGUCAUAGUAGUUUAUAAAAAAUUGUAGUCUCUUGUAAAGAAAGACAAAAAGAAACCUUUACUUCAGAAAAUGCCUGAAUCAGAGGUUGUGGUAUUUAGUCUUUUUUUUUUUUUUUUUUUCCUCUAAUGUUAAAAUGUUCCUAAUGAUAAAAUUCAUUUACUAAUGCUUAACUGAUGUUAUACUUUGAAAGUAUUAUUUCAACAUUUAUCCAUUCAUCCCUGCAAUGAUUUUGGCUACUCAAAAAUAAAGAACAUUGUUAUAGGUAUUAACAGUUGAAAUUAAGAUUGCAAGGCUGUGAGCUGAGAGGAAGAAAUGAUUUCAGUUCCCAUAUUCUUUGUUUUCCAUCGGGUAUAGAGAAAAGUUUGUAGUUCAUGCACAGUCGAUUAAUUGUCACCAUUAAACUUCAUCAGUUCCAUCACAUUUAAAAUAUCAGUUCCACCAAUACAUACUAAACCGAAGGACAGCCAUUUUAAAUACUGUUUUUUAGUGUAGGAAACACAUUUUUAUUUUUGAUGACUGUAUUUUUUACAGUGCUUUGAAAUGAUUUUGGCAUGAAAGGUACUAUGGAGAUAAAGAUGACGUGUUUUCCUUCUGUUACUGUAGUCAUCUCAAUUUACUUAGACUGACAUCAUUGUUAUUGUGGGAUGGGAAAGAAAAUCCAUUGAAGAUAAAAGACUGAAUCCAUGUCAUGACAAAUGAGGUUAUGAAAUGUAAUUACUUUGCAUGCUCAGUAAUAGUUUUCCAAAUGUACACAUACAAAUAUUUUUUAAUACAGUUUAAAUGGCUCUAUCUGUUAACUGCUUGAAAAUGUUACUACUUAAAUGUAAGUUCAAAACAGGGGUUUAUUUUCAACUCGGCAGGAAAAAGCAGAAAUGUGGAAAUCUAUACACUGCUUUUAGAAAAUAAUUUUUAAAAAUAAUCUGUACUAAUAUUAUAUUAUCAUAUUAUUCAUGAAGCCCUAGACUAUUAUAGAGUAUUGGUAUAUUACAGACUGCAUUGUGGACUUUAAAAUAGAAAGGCAACAUGGCUUUAAUUGCAAGAACGUUCCAUGCAUUAUUAUAAUAACAAUUUGCUCUGUGAUUCUCUUCCCAGUCAUUAAAUCUGUCAGUCUAUAGCAGUGGAUAGGUGCAUUUGUAAUAAUAUAUUACUUUUAUUUAACACCUCUAAACCAGAAUGUAGUUUUCUUAUUCCUAAUAGAGAAUAAUAAGUUCAAUAGCAAUAGAUGUAGGCACUUUUGGGAUAAAAUAUGACAAUGUAACCAAAGGAAGCAAUGCUACUUAGGUGUCUUUAAUACAUCAAUAAAGAUGCUUGUAGCAUGCAUCAAAAACUGCAGAAAGAGUUUUGGUAGAAGUGAUCUAAUUACUUGGGAUAGAAUAUAAUGAAAUCACAAAAAGGUAUCAUUCUGUUCUUAAUGAUAAAGUUAGCUUUAAUUGCAAAAGAAACAGGGAUGUCAAAGAAAAUACAAACA